AGCCCCUCGGCCCAAUCCAAUUGCCCGCACUCCACAACCCUCCCUCCCUCCUCGAUCUCUCUCCCUCAGCCACCACAAACCCUAGGUCCUCCCCUUCUGCCUUGCUCUCCACCAUGCCUCCUCCUCCUCCCCUUCACCAUUCCCUCCAGCGGCAGGCACAGGGAUACGACGGCGGCGCUCGAUUUGAUACGCCCCGCUCCCCUCCCUCUCCACUGCGCCUCGGCCUUGUCCGCCCAGUGCUCUGCCGGCGCCCAUCGGCCUUGAUCCGGCUUCGGCAGGAGGAGCUCGCCCUCGAGACAGGAGGAGGGGAGCAGCAGGAUACAUGAGCAUGGCCUUCUUCUCGCGCUGCAGCCGCCGGCCUUGUCCUGUUCGAGGAGGAGCAACAGCAGGAGGGGCGCACCCAGCCACCCAGUCCUUCCUGGUUCCUGCCACCGCCACACCCACUCGUCUCCUCCUCUCUCUUCUAGCUAACUCCUCCUUCUUAAUCUCUGCGCCGGCCGCAGUGCGAGAGGAGCAGCGGCGGCGGAGAUGCUCCGAUGGCGGCGCCGAGUUGCGAAGUGGCGGCGCUCGGGCGCGAGACAAUAAAAGCGGGAGCGACUACUCCAGGCCCCGAUCUGCGGGUCCGGUUCCAGGGCACCGACGACUUCGCCAUCUAUGAUGUCGGGGGCAUGUUGCCAGGGUCCAUGACGGCGGCCGGGUCGGGCCGGGGCAGGAGAACUACAGGAGGCCAUGAAGGGCACGAAGGCUGCUGGCAGAAGUAGCAGAUUUGAAGGAGCGGCAGAUGUGGGUGGGGUCGGCGAUUGGGGAAGGCUCGCCGGCUGGGCGACGCGAGCUCCGGUGAGUGCAACAAAAGGAAGCUAGGUGUCGGCUUACGACAAUGAUUCGGGUGCCUGCGGCAUGAUGGAGAGCCGCCGCUAAACGCUCAGUGAUGGGGCGAUUUGGUUGAGGCGUCAAUGGCACCUUUGCUCGUGACCAAGGAUGGCACUUGUGCGAUCUGAAGUAAGACGCAUGCCAACUUUGGCCUCCUAGGCUUCCUUGGCACCCUCCCUUGCCACUACGUGCUCAACAACAAGGUGAGCCUCCCACUCUCCAUUUUCCCACAGAACUUCCAAUGACUGUUCAAAAAAUCAUCCAAGAGAAAGGCAGUAGCAGGAGAGAGGCAAUAGCAGCAGACCAAAGCAAAAAAAGAUCAACUCCUUUUUCCUAUUGGCUUUUAACCUCUUGUGCUAUGUGAUUGUGCUCGGGUAUUCGAAGGAUUAGGGCUUAAGGCAACUUGAUGGCAGCCAGUCGGAGUUUGCUAGGUUACAUAUGCAAGUCCUUUUGAAAUCUCAAACUUCUUUUUGGUGAUGAGCUUCUGCUCAUCUUGAUUGAUUCCUCUACAGUGAAGGUGUGUGCCUUUUCUGAUGCUUUCAUUUUCUCUUUCAUACUGUGGAGUUCAUCUUUGUCUUGGAGAACAUAACCAUGUGCCUGCUAUUGUUUAUGUGGUUGUAUGGAGUGUUCCUUCAACUAAUCAAGCAACACCCUUAAAUCUAACAAUCAAACUCCGAGAGAAUCAUUUAUACUUGAACUAGAAAGGCCAAUUCUGUGUCUUAGUUUUGUAUAGGAAUAUUAGCAAGUUGAGUAAGCUUGUUCUUUCUAGAAUAGGGCCAUUCCUGGUUUUUGUGUCUGUGGUUUCUACUUUUAUUACGCUGCUUAUUUUUGUGGUUCCAUUUGAACAGGAUGUCACUCUUGUUUCCGUCGUUAUACCUAUUUUGGAAGCCAUGGCAGCAUGUUUUGCUUUGUCGGCACAUUCGUGCAUGUUUGAGGUCACAGACGAAGAAGCACUGAAUGCUCAUUAUAUUCUCCUCUACUCUGAUCUUCUAUACACAUAUAUAAGAUGUGUCUUAUUUCCUUGUGUUUCCUGAGGAUCUUUCUUGAUUGAUUGUUUGACAGUGACUGUUAUGUAAAAAUGUUUUCAGUUGCUGUUUAGUACGGAUGCCUCCAUGGUUGCAUAGGCAUCCAUGGUUUUGUGAGGAGGUUAUCUAUGCCGUUCUGUUUUAUAUACUCCCUCCGUUCCUAAAUAUUUGUCAGCAAUUGCACAUGGUCCUGUUAGUUGUUUGUUUCUUUUGAUCAUAUUGAUGUUGAGUUGUGGGUUUACACAUUUUUCCUUGAAAUGUUUAUAUGUGUGUCCAGUUGUUUUUGGAUGGUCUAUGAUUUUGUUUGUGUUUAGUUUACAUUUCUCUCCUGAAGAUCUUGCUACCCAGCUGUAUUGCUAUAUUUCCUAUAAUAGGAAGUCAAUUAUAUUUGUAUUAUUUUGGCAGCCCUAACAGAUAGACCGGGGUCUCUACUGGCUCGGAAGACUGGACUUGAGGCACAUGUAAAAUUAAUUGUAUCUUGCUACUCUCGUGAUCUGUAUCCAGAGUGCAAGUCAUGUCUUGGAAUGCUGAGAAAAUAAGUGAAGUGUGCAAACAGGCAGCAUGGAAACACUAAAGAGAAGCUUCAGACAAACUAAUAUAACUGGAGUGAUUUCCUACAUGUAGUGACCGACUUGGAAGAAAUAAGUUUCAGCUAUUUCUAAAGAUAUUAUAUCAUAAGACUAUUCUUAGAUUAAGAUGUUUGGCUUGCACUAAUGUGUACAUGGCUGUAGUGGUUCCAGAUUUGUUACAAGCUCCUUGUGUUGAGGAUUGUCAAAAUGGUGAAGUUUCUAUUAUUUUCGGAACUACUGAUUCA
Triticum aestivum (bread wheat) is the source of this 2709-nucleotide long non-coding RNA. RefSeq lists it as uncharacterized. The transcript has 2 exons. NCBI's taxonomy places the organism in Eukaryota, Viridiplantae, Streptophyta, Magnoliopsida, Poales, Poaceae. The record is from RefSeq and is a predicted model, not a curated record.